Oncorhynchus gorbuscha (pink salmon) is the source of this 1465-nucleotide long non-coding RNA. RefSeq lists it as uncharacterized. NCBI's taxonomy places the organism in Eukaryota, Metazoa, Chordata, Actinopteri, Salmoniformes, Salmonidae. The record is from RefSeq and is a predicted model, not a curated record. The transcript has 4 exons.
GGGGCUUUAUAAAUCAAUUGGAUUUGAUGCGGAACCCACUGACAAUCGUCUGUAGCUAACUGUUCUGCUCAUGAUCCAAGUUACCUUUCCAUUCGUUCCAAGCCAGCGUACCUGGCGGUGGUGCACCCGUUCCGUCUGAUGACCUCCGAACCCUCUCUAAGACCAUCUGGAUCAACCUGUUUGUGUGGGUGGUGUCAUUUGUCAUGGUCCUUCCUGCCUGGGUCCACUCCAAAGUAAUUCUCUUCCCUGACGGACUGGAGAGCUGCUCCAUGAACCUGGUCAAACCUGAAGAGGUGCUCUGGUACACCCUCUAUCAGACCCUCACAUCUUUCUUUCUGCCCUUGCCCCUUAUCCUCACCUGUUACAUGCUGAUCCUGUGCUAUACCUGGAGGAUGUCCCUGAAGAACAAGAGAGAACGGUGCUUCAGUGCUAACAACCAGUCCCGGGACCGAGCCAUCUGGUCAACUUAACACUGCGGCGGCCCACGCUGGCCUACUCCACCUGAUACCUGUCAGUGUGCCUCAGCUACGCCGCCAGCAGCAUUAACCCUUUCAUCUACAUCCUGAUCAGCGGACACUUCCGUCGCAGCCUCACUUACCGCAAGCCGACCAGCAGGCCUAAUGUUGAGAGGGAGCCUUGUGGGCCCCAGGUCCGUACACCACAUUCCAGCUUCUGACAAUCCUGUCCUCAAAGCAGGCACACACACAUACACACGCACACACAUGGAUGCAUGCACGCAUACAAGCGCAUCCCCACAUGCGUUCGCACCCACACACACACACACACAUAAACACACACCACCACCAUUACGGCCUAUCCCCAGCACACUGCCUGGGGCAUUACCUAUGGCAGGAGAAUUACCUUUUGGUCAAGGAGUGCUUUAAUUUACAUUGUGGAUUGACUGAUCCUCAACAGGAUCAGAGUGUUAUCAUUUAUUUUCUACUAUGGUUUUCAAAUGGACUGUACGGUAAAAUACUGUAGUUAUUACAUUGUAAAGUAAUUAUGUUCACAUGAGUAGUUCCUGCUGUUAAAGAAAAGACAUAUAUUGUUAAUGGAUCAGCCUCAUGGGUGGUUAGCAUAACACGCUAGGGGUUAUUGCCUGUUAGGAUAUUUUUGUGUUGCCAUCUUGUAAAGAUACUGUACCUGUGUUCAGAAUAUGGCUCAAACUUAUCAUGGUGGCAAGGCUCCAUCCAGAGGUAGAUUGGGAUAUUGCAAGGAUUGAUCCACUAUCAUUUUGGAUUCACCUGAAUGUGGCUGAUAUUACUUUCACUGUGUAUUUUAAUGUAUAGCUAAAAAAAUAAGAAAAAAAACACAUUUGAGGUGUUUUCCAUUAGCACAUAGUUUGGCAUUUGUUUUCAACCUAAAGUUAGUGUUGCUAUAUCAUUAAUUGGUGCAUUGAUUGUGAUGUGUGGGACUUUGAACACACAGAAACAUAUGUUCUACUGAACUGUAUCUACUGCUAACA